UAAGACAUGCUAGUCGAGCGUCUUCAGGCUAUGUUGAGGACGCGGCGUACGGCUCAGUAACACGUGGCCAACCUACCCUUGGGACGGAGACAACCCCGGGAAACUGGGGCUAAUCCCCGAUAGGUGAGGACGCCUGGAAUGGUCUCUCACCCAAAGGACGUUGAAAGCAUGCUUUUCGGCGUUGCCUAAGGAUGGAGCCGCGGCCGAUCAGGUUGUUGGUGAGGUAACGGCUCACCAAGCCUAUAACCGGUACGGGCCAUGAGAGUGGGAGCCCGGAGAUGGGCACUGAGACAAGGGCCCAGGCCCUACGGGGCGCAGCAGUUGCGAAACCUCCACAAUGCACGAAAGUGCGAUGGGGCUAACCCGAGUGCCGUCCGCUGAGGAGGGCUUUUCUCCGCUGUAAGGAGGCGGAGGAAUAAGGAGAGGGCAAGACUGGUGUCAGCCGCCGCGGUAAUACCAGCUCUCCGAGUGGUAGGGACGAUUAUUGGGCCUAAAGCGUUCGUAGCCGGCUUGGCAAGUCUUUCGUUAAAUCCAGUGACCUAAUCGCUGGGCUGCGGGAGAUACUGUCAGGCUUGGGAGCGGAAGAGGUCGACGGUAUUCUCGGGGUAGG
This 610-nucleotide ribosomal RNA is filed under the name uncultured archaeon. Its description in RNAcentral is "bacterial SSU rRNA". It matches the Rfam family "Archaeal small subunit ribosomal RNA", at positions 45 to 630 of the family's 1478-position model. The record is from RNAcentral.